GGACAUAAAUAAAGCAAAGGAAAAAGAUAAAUACCCAUCUUUAUAAAGAGAUAUACAAACAACAGUGAUUGCUGAAUAAGAUAGUCUAUGAAGAUAAACCCCAUAAACACCAGAUAAUAGAUUAUAAGAGUAAGAAACCCAAGGCACUUCCAGUAUUGAAAUUGACAGGUACAACAACAACAACAACAACAACCCUGUAUAAUACCACUUAGUGGGGUCUGGGGAGGGUAGUAUGUAUGCAGACCUUACCCCUACCCUGGGGUAGAGGUAUAAUCUUAUUUAGUGGGGGGUCUGGGGAGGGUAGUAUGUACGCAGAGUUUACCCCUACCCUUGGGUAGAGAGACUGUUUCCAAAUAGAAACCCGGCAUUCUUCCCUCCAAGAACUUCCCACCUUGCUCUUGGGGAGACUCGAACUCACAACCUCUCGGUUGGAAGUGGAGGUUGCUUACCUAGGCUUUAGGAUAUGGGUAGGACAGAACCCUAUAUAUGUCUUAGGAAAUUCAAUAAAUUUGUACAAAUAGUGAAUUAUCCGAGUGACAACCUGAGCCAAAUUCAUUAUUGAAACACAGACGCCUCCACACACAUCCCCCAACCCCCCACACGUCUUUGCACUGAUCGAAACAACUAUUUGCACAAUCAGGUCACUUAUUAGGCAAUUACAUGUAAAUUCCUUAACAAGCAUUCAUCAAUAGUGUAAAAAGAUCUUUACUCUAUAUUUUCCAUAAAUUUGAGUUACUCGGCUUAUAUGUUAGAUCAGCUGCGAUAAAAA
Molecule: long non-coding RNA, 769 nt
Filed under: Nicotiana benthamiana
Lineage: Eukaryota; Viridiplantae; Streptophyta; Magnoliopsida; Solanales; Solanaceae
Description: long non-coding RNA (NBEN_LNC037155)
Source: RNAcentral